Molecule: long non-coding RNA, 331 nt
Organism: Colossoma macropomum (tambaqui)
Lineage: Eukaryota; Metazoa; Chordata; Actinopteri; Characiformes; Serrasalmidae
Exons: 3
Source: RefSeq, a predicted model, not a curated record
GCGAAAGUAAACCAGCACUGAUCAAAUUCCCCUGAUCAGGAGACUUUGUCUAGGUUUGUCUAGACUACACGUGGUGUCUUUCUGAACUGCUGUGUUUAUUCAGUGGUUGUGAGGGUUAAAACCAGAAGAGGAGGAUAAAUGGCACGUUCUUCAUCACGACUACCUCGGACAAAGAGCAGAGGAAAUUUCCUGGAUGAGCCACCUGAGUGCUCAAAAAGGAGGAGGAAGGAAAUGGCAGAAUCCUCAUCACUUCAACAAAGAGAAGGCGAAAGGAGGAAUGUAGAUGAAUCAUCUGACUGUGACUUGCACAGUGGACAUGUACUGUACAGCA